RNAcentral lists this long non-coding RNA (2467 nucleotides) under Capsicum annuum. RNAcentral describes it as "long non-coding RNA (CANN_LNC010999)". Lineage: Eukaryota; Viridiplantae; Streptophyta; Magnoliopsida; Solanales; Solanaceae. The record is from RNAcentral.
UGCCAUUUUAAUUCAAUUCAAUAGUAUAUACAAUCUAAUCAACUUAAUCGAACUCCAAGAGCUCUCAACAAUCAAUCAAACUACAACGCACACACGUACUAAUACAAUGAACACUAAAUGAAAAUCAACUUUAAAGUACCUUGAAAUUGAACGAAAGAACAUCGUUAAGAGUACAGAAUAGACAUACACAAGAUACUAGUAGGUCCACAUUCUUUAUCGUCUUCAGAGCUUCAGGAUCCAUACAGAUUGCCAUAUUUAUACACUUCAAAAUCGAUACAGUAGCAACAUUAAAUAAGACAACAAAAAGACAAAAUGAUGGCACACGACCACUUCAAGGAAAGAUGAGAUAUUGUAACAAAGACUUUACAUGGAUGAUAGUUAUUCUUCUAUUUUUAGCAUGCUGCAUUUUCACCAACUUCCAAGAUUUAAGCAAACUUUAAUGAAUCUUUAACAAAACUAAUUUAGUGUAGGAAAGAACUAGAAAUUUAUGAUUAUUUAAACUAGUGUAGGAUCUGUAGAAAAAAUAUUAAGCUUGUGUAGGAUAGAAACAAGAAUUUUCCUUAAGCAACCUAUUUUCUUUACAUCCUAGCAAUAUGAGUCCACUGAUUUCUUCUCUCUUGAGUUGUUUUUGAAAUCCUCUACUACAUUGAUUAUACAACUUUUCUGGCACUCUGAUUUUCAUGUGAUUUGUUGCUUCUAGAACUGCUGGUCUACCUCAGUAUGGCUACCUUGGUCAUGCUACUGACAAUGAGGUACACUUAAAGAAAAAGUUUCAGUUAAUUUUUAAAUAUUUUGUGACAAGGACAAAGACUUCCAAUAUUUUCAUGUUAUGUUCGGAAGUUCGAGACUUCACCAAUUGUAUAACAAUCUCAAAUUACAAUGUUUCCUAGCAGACAAUGAUAUGUCAUGGCAAGAUCAUCCGUUCAAUUUAAUUGAUAAUGAUGCAACUUAUUGGUGAUACUACUUCUGCAUAAAUUGAAAUAAAAAUUAACAUGAAAUUAGAUGAGUAGUUGUUAUCUUCCCUAAAUUAUCUUGUAUUAUGUUUAAUGCCUUUUUGCCUAUUGAAAUGUAAUGAGCUCUUUAUUUUAUUUUUUGCUAACAGGGUGGAAUUCUUAACCACAUUACGACUACUUUCUAAAUACUGAAAUGUUUCUCACCUUUCUACAACAUGUAGUUGAUAAGUUUUGUGGAAAGCACAUUUUCCAUGAAAUAAUCAGUGUUUUUCUAUUUCUAAAAAAAUCAGUGUUCUUAUCUUUCAUAUUGGAGUCCUUUACUCUGCAUAUCACUCUAUCAUUUCAUAAUGAUCUAAGGUCUAAUAUUUCUCCAAAUUAAGUAGAGAAACCUAGACUUAAAUGCAGCAAAUCGGAAAGACCAUAUCCAAUCUUUUCUCCUUUUAUGACAAGACCCUUGAUGUUUAAAUUUGAAACUUAUUGUAAUAAAGGCAUUCACACAGUAGCAUCUUUAUAUUUGAACUGGGAGUUGUUGCUUUCUUUGUUUGAUUUAGGGAAGCUCUGUAACAUGCAUUAUAAUACCAAAGAUAGCUCUGUAAGACUAACUUAUGAAUCUCAACCCUGACCUAGACCUAUAGCCUCCUAUUCUGGAGAAACUAUAAUCAAAGUAGCCUGUGGAACAAAUCACAUGGUUUCAUCUUAACUUCAUUUUAAUAAAUAUUGUCCUCUUUCAGAUUUGUUAAGUGCAGUAACCUUCUUUUUUCUAGUUUUCAGUUGCCGUGGAUAAGAAUGGAUAUAUUUACACGUAAGUUUUAGUAGGAAACCAGAAUUCUACAUAUAACCAUCAAGCAUGUAAAUCCAUAUUACUAGUUCUAAAUACUUGCACCAAUAACUAAGGGAAAAAAGAUGGUUGGAACAAGUUGUAUUCUUACUCAUGUCAUUGCUUGUCAUUGCCCUAAUAUGUGUUUUCUCCGCAAGCUUAAUCAGGAUAAUAUACAUGUACCAUAGACCAUACAAUAUUCACCAGGAGAAUACAAGUCCAAUUCAAAAACCAAUAUCAGGAAUUGAAAAGUAGCAGUAACAAUAAAAAGAAGAGUAUAACAAAGAAAAGAAGAGUAUGGGAAUGAUCAAUAAGAACAACAAAAAACCAUAUACACAGUUCUGAUAAUUAAUAAAACGCCCAACUACUCAAAAAAUCGCAUAAAACCUCUAACUAUUCGAUCGAAAAGCAUAGAUUCACAAUUUGAAAUACAGUUUUGAAAAAAGAACAAGAAAGACGAAAAGCAUAGGAACGCAGUUUAAAGACAAAGACAACAAAACCAUCAACUAUUCAUUACAAUCUUCAUAUUUUGGGAAAAUUAAAGGAGACCCAAGAGAUUCAUAAAUUCACAUAAAUAAGAAAAAAACAAUGCUUACAGCCUUACUUGGACUGAAAUAGCUGACCUUACUUUGUGAGACAGAGCUUGAAUUUGAGAGAGGGAGGCUCCAAUUUGAGAGAGGGGUUUUGAGAAAGAGAG